CUGGACCAAUAAGCUAGGUCAGACUUAGCCAUGUGGAGUCAGUUCUUGAGUCAAUGAAACGGUAUUAACAUGUUUAUACCACCCUGUACAGAGAUUUCCCCAGUUAUAUGGACUGACGCUGCAGCCCACUCAGGGUACGCAGCUAUUUUUGGUAACAAAUGGUUCAGAGACACAUGACCAGUUGAAACAGCAAUGUUACCAUCAUUCAACACCACCUUGCCCUUUUUGAGGUCUACCCAAUAGUGGCAGCAGCCCAAGUUUGGGGACACAUUUGGAAGGGACAAGCUGUAAAAUGCUACUCGGACAACACAGAUACAUGCAAUAUUAUUAAUAAAGGGAGAUCCUCAAUCCCGACCAUCAUGAGGUUAGUCAGGAAACUGGUAUGGUUGGCAGCCACAGAGCACUUUCAUUUCAUGUGCGAACAUAUACCGGGCCACCACAACACAGCAGCUGAUGCCCUUUCUCGCUCUAAAUUACAGGUGUGACAUCAAGAACAUCCCACUGCUGAGAAAAAC
Molecule: non-coding RNA, 515 nt
Organism: Pelobates cultripes (western spadefoot toad)
Lineage: Eukaryota; Metazoa; Chordata; Amphibia; Anura; Pelobatidae
Source: the annotation of a GenBank genome assembly